RNAcentral lists this ribosomal RNA (428 nucleotides) under uncultured eukaryote. RNAcentral describes it as "SSU rRNA". It matches the Rfam family "Eukaryotic small subunit ribosomal RNA", at positions 592 to 1018 of the family's 1831-position model. The record is from RNAcentral.
CAAUAGCGUAUAUUAAAGUUGUUGCAGUUAAAAGCUCGUAGUUGGAUUUCUGGUUUGAUGCCCUGGCCCCGCUGCUAUUUUAGUAGUGUGUGCCGGUUGUGCGUCUGCCAUCCUUCUAGGGAACGUUCCUUCUCUUCACUGAGCCGGGUUCGUGAUCUAGAUCGUUUACUUUGAAAAAUUAGAGUGUUUAAAGCAGGCUUUUGCUAUGAAUACAUUAGCAUGGAAUAAUAAUCUAGGACUUCGGUUCUAUUUUGUUGGUUUCUAGUACUGAAGUAAUGAUUGAUAGGGAUAGUUGGGGGUGCUAGUAUUGACCGGCCAGAGGUGAAAUUCUUGGAUUCGGUCAAGACUAACUUAUGCGAAAGCAUUCACCAAGGAUGUCUCUUUAAUCAAGAACGAAAUUGGGGGAUCGGAAGACGAUCAGAUACCAU